This 253-nucleotide ribosomal RNA is filed under the name uncultured bacterium. RNAcentral describes it as "partial 16S ribosomal RNA". It matches the Rfam family "Bacterial small subunit ribosomal RNA", at positions 524 to 776 of the family's 1533-position model. The record is from RNAcentral.
UACGUAGGGCGCGAGCGUUGUCCGGAAUUAUUGGGCGUAAAGAGCUCGUAGGCGGUCUGUCGCGUCGGCUGUGAAAACCUGGGGCUUAACUCCGGGCCUGCAGCCGAUACGGGCAGACUAGAGUUCGGCAGGGGAGACUGGAAUUCCUGGUGUAGCGGUGAAAUGCGCAGAUAUCAGGAGGAACACCGGUGGCGAAGGCGGGUCUCUGGGCCGAUACUGACGCUGAGGAGCGAAAGCGUGGGGAGCAAACGGG